Molecule: ribosomal RNA, 254 nt
Filed under: uncultured bacterium
Lineage: Bacteria
Description: partial 16S ribosomal RNA
Rfam family: Bacterial small subunit ribosomal RNA
Source: RNAcentral
UACGUAGGGUGCGAGCGUUGUCCGGAAUUAUUGGGCGUAAAGAGCUCGUAGGCGGUGUGUCACGUCGAUCGUGAAAACUUACAGCUUAACUGUGAGCGUGCGGUCGAUACGGGCAUGACUGGAGUUCGGCAGGGGAGACUGGAAUUCCUGGUGUAGCGGUGAAAUGCGCAGAUAUCAGGAGGAACACCGGUGGCGAAGGCGGGUCUCUGGGCCGAUACUGACGCUGAGGAGCGAAAGCGUGGGGAGCGAACAGG